GACGAACGCUGGCGGCGUGCUUAACACAUGCAAGUCGAACGGAAAGGCCCUGCUUUUGUGGGGUGCUCGAGUGGCGAACGGGUGAGUAACACGUGAGUAACCUGCCCUUGACUUUGGGAUAACUUCAGGAAACUGGGGCUAAUACCGGAUAGGAGCUCCUGCUGCAUGGUGGGGGUUGGAAAGUUUCGGCGGGUGGGGAUGGACUCGCGGCUUAUCAGCUUGUUGGUGGGGUAGUGGCUUACCAAGGCUUUGACGGGUAGCCGGCCUGGGAGGGUGACCGGCCACAUUGGGACUGAGAUACGGCCCAGACUCCUACGGGAGGAAGCAGUGGGGAAUAUUGCACAAUGGGCGGAAGCCUGAUGCAGCACCGCCGCGUGCGGGAUGACGGCCUUCGGGUUGUAAACCGCUUUCGCCUGUGACGAAGCGUGAGUGACGGUAAUGGGUAAAGAAGCACCGGCUAACUACGUG
Molecule: ribosomal RNA, 468 nt
Filed under: uncultured bacterium
Lineage: Bacteria
Description: partial 16S ribosomal RNA
Rfam family: Bacterial small subunit ribosomal RNA
Source: RNAcentral